UGGGUGACAUAGUAAGACUCUGUCUCUGCAAAAAAUACAAGAUUAGCUGGGUGUGUUGGUACAUGCCUCUAAUCCCAGCUACUUGGGAGGCUGAGGUGGGAGGAUCUUUUGAGCCUGGGAGAUUGAGGCUGCAAUGAGUCAUGAUUGUACCACUGCACUCCAGCCUGGGUGACAAAGCAAGAACGUGUCUCAAAGAAAGAAAAAAAAUCCACAAACAUAACAGCAGUAAUUACAAAAUUUAUCACUAAACCUAACCGUUAUUAUUAUGAAUUCGAUUUACUUCAUCAUUGUAAAUUGACUUACCUAACUAUGGGGCACAUACAUGCAUAUAUAUGUUUAUAUAUAUGUUAUAUAUGUUUAUGUGUGUGUGUGUAUAUAUAUAUAUGAUCACGGGCAGGCUAGAGAUCCCAAACUGCUUUAUAGAUCACUGGUUAGAGAUGAUACCUCAGUCAAAAUUAGAUGUUACUUCCAAGACCAUUCUAUCAAAGAAAUAAAUGAAACCAUGGAGUUCUUAUUGGGACUUCAGCUUGUUCUAUUUAUUUUCAAAAUUAUCUAUUGCUUUAUAAUAAACUCCCCCAAGACUUAGUGGCUUAAAAAAACCAUCAUUUUAUACCUGAUGUAUUUUGAGUCAGAAAUUCAAGCAGAUAUUGAAUAGGUGAUUCGUUUGCUCCAUAAACCUUUAACUAGAAGGUAAUUUGGUGGCAUUCAGCCGGUGGCUGGGUUGUGUUGGGGAGUCCAAAACAGUGUAACUCAUUUGUCUGGUGUCUUCCUGUGGAUGACAAGGAGGCUGGGCUUAGGUAGGUUCCUUUUCACAUACUCUCUCCUGCAGAGUAGUUAAACUCACAUGGCUGCUCAGGGAUCCAAAAGGGAGCAUUUCAGGAAGCCCAAUAGAAGCCCUUCAG
This 902-nucleotide long non-coding RNA is filed under the name Homo sapiens (human). RNAcentral's name for it is "non-protein coding lnc-C2orf69-9:1". Lineage: Eukaryota; Metazoa; Chordata; Mammalia; Primates; Hominidae. The record is from RNAcentral.